GAUGAACGCUGGCGGCGUGCCUAAUACAUGCAAGUCGAGCGAACAGACGAGGAGCUUGCUCCUCUGACGUUAGCGGCGGACGGGUGAGUAACACGUGGAUAACCUACCUAUAAGACUGGGAUAACUUCGGGAAACCGGAGCUAAUACCGGAUAAUAUAUUGAACCGCAUGGUUCAAUAGUGAAAGACGGUUUUGCUGUCACUUAUAGAUGGAUCCGCGCCGCAUUAGCUAGUUGGUAAGGUAACGGCUUACCAAGGCGACGAUGCGUAGCCGACCUGAGAGGGUGAUCGGCCACACUGGAACUGAGACACGGUCCAGACUCCUACGGGAGGCAGCAGUAGGGAAUCUUCCGCAAUGGGCGAAAGCCUGACGGAGCAACGCCGCGUGAGUGAUGAAGGUCUUCGGCUCGUAAAACUCUGUUAUUAGGGAAGAACAAAUGUGUAAGUAACUAUGCACGUCUUGACGGUACCUAAUCAGAAAGCCACGGCUAACUACGUG
RNAcentral lists this ribosomal RNA (497 nucleotides) under uncultured bacterium. Its description in RNAcentral is "partial 16S ribosomal RNA". It matches the Rfam family "Bacterial small subunit ribosomal RNA", at positions 28 to 507 of the family's 1533-position model. The record is from RNAcentral.